CCAUUUCCGCGAUAACAUUCCCCUGUUCGACCAUUUUCCCUUCGAGGCACAAUGUGCGAUUGCGCAUUGGGAACUGAAGAGUAAAGGUCAUAUGAAUAAGGGUUGGGCUUAACAUCGAAUUAUUAUCUAUAGACAAUAAAUAAAUGUAGGUGUUAAACGUUAAAAAGCUUCUAAAUGCUUAAUGGAACGUAACCAGUAAUUGUUUUAAUCAUAAUUAUUUUACUUUUUGUACGAAAUCCGGCA
RNAcentral lists this long non-coding RNA (243 nucleotides) under Mytilus galloprovincialis (Mediterranean mussel). The record is from RNAcentral. Lineage: Eukaryota; Metazoa; Mollusca; Bivalvia; Mytilida; Mytilidae.